RNAcentral lists this ribosomal RNA (492 nucleotides) under uncultured bacterium. RNAcentral's name for it is "partial 16S ribosomal RNA". It matches the Rfam family "Bacterial small subunit ribosomal RNA", at positions 28 to 507 of the family's 1533-position model. The record is from RNAcentral.
GAUGAACGCUAGCUACAGGCCUAACACAUGCAAGUCGAGGGGAAACGACAUCGAAAGCUUGCUUUUGAUGGGCGUCGAGCGGCGCACGGGUGAGUAACGUGUAUCCAACCUGCCCACCACUUGGGGAUAACCUUGCGAAAGUAAGACUAAUACCCAAUGAGAUCCCACGAAGGCAUCCGAAUGGGAUUAAUGAUUUAUCGGUGAUGGAUGGGGAUGCGUCUGAUUAGCUUGUUGGUGAGGUGACGGCCCACCAAGGCAACGAUCAGUAGGGGUUCUGAGAGUAAGGUCCCCCAGAAUGGAACUGCGGCCCAGUCUACAAUGCUACGGAACGGAGGAGUGUGGUAUAUUAUGGGAGGAGGCAGAGCCUGGCCAAGCCGAGUGGCGGGCAGGAGUACUGCCAUAUGAGUUGUAUACUGCUUGUAAAAGAGAAUAGUGUGUGUAACGUGUGACGUUUUGAAGGUACCUAAUGAAUAAGCGCCGGCUAAUUCCGUG